This 581-nucleotide ribosomal RNA is filed under the name Ptychocheilus oregonensis (northern pikeminnow). RNAcentral describes it as "partial 16S ribosomal RNA". It matches the Rfam family "Bacterial large subunit ribosomal RNA", at positions 1814 to 2598 of the family's 2925-position model. Lineage: Eukaryota; Metazoa; Chordata; Actinopteri; Cypriniformes; Leuciscidae. The record is from RNAcentral.
CAUCGCCUCCUGCAACUAAACUGAGUAUAGGAGGUCCAGCCUGCCCAGUGACUACGGGUUCAACGGCCGCGGUAUUUUGACCGUGCAAAGGUAGCGCAAUCACUUGUCUCUUAAAUAGAGACCUGUAUGAAUGGCUAGACGAGGGCUUAACUGUCUCCCCUAUCAAGUCAGUGAAAUUGAUCUAUCCGUGCAGAAGCGGGUAUGACCAUACAAGACGAGAAGACCCUUUGGAGCUUAAGGUACAAAUUUACCCACGUUAAACAACUCCAUAAAAAGUAAGAACUUAGUGGCAGAUAAAAUUUUACCUUCGGUUGGGGCGACCGCGGAGGAAAAACAAGCCUCCGAGUGGACUGGGCCAAACCCCUAAAGCUAAUAGAGACAUUUAUAAGCCGCAGAAUAUCUGACCAAAAAUGAUCCGACCACAGUGAUCGAUCAACGAACCAAGUUACCCUAGGGAUAACAGCGCAAUCCCCUCCCAGAGUCCAUAUCGACGAGGGGGUUUACGACCUCGAUGUUGGAUCAGGACAUCCUAAUGGUGCAGCCGCUAUUAAGGGUUCGUUUGUUCAACGAUUAAAGUCCUA